GAUGAACGCUGGCGGCGUGCCUAAUACAUGCAAGUCGAGCGAACAGACGAGGAGCUUGCUCCUUCGACGUUAGCGGCGGACGGGUGAGUAACACGUAGGUAACCUACCUAUAAGACUGGGAUAACUUCGGGAAACCGGAGCUAAUACCGGAUAAUAUUUCGAACCGCAUGGUUCGAUAGUGAAAGAUGGCUUUGCUAUCACUUAUAGAUGGACCUGCGCCGUAUUAGCUAGUUGGUAAGGUAACGGCUUACCAAGGCAACGAUACGUAGCCGACUGAGAGGGUGAUCGGCCACACUGGAACUGAGACACGGUCCAGACUCCUACGGGAGGCAGCAGUAGGGAAUCUUCCGCAAUGGGCGAAAGCCUGACGGAGCAACGCCGCGUGAGUGAUGAAGGUCUUCGGAUCGUAAAACUCUGUUAUUAGGGAAGAACAAACGUGUAAGUAACUGUGCACGUCUUGACGGUACCUAAUCAGAAAGCCACGGCUAACUACGUG
This 496-nucleotide ribosomal RNA is filed under the name uncultured bacterium. RNAcentral's name for it is "partial 16S ribosomal RNA". It matches the Rfam family "Bacterial small subunit ribosomal RNA", at positions 28 to 507 of the family's 1533-position model. The record is from RNAcentral.